ACCAUGGCAGUCAUGCAGUAUCUGCCAAAGUCCUAGAUGGAAGCAAGAAACAAUGACAAUACUCGAUAAAAGAAAAGGUAAAGAAUCAGAUUCAUUGCCUCGUACUAUAAUUGGUUGACCAGUUGCAUGAGCUAACCAAUCAGCAUCUCUCUUAUGCAAUAGCAGGCAUGUCCUUGAGCCAUGCAUCCAGUGGCUUACCGAUUGAGUACACAAUGAAUCCAAUCCCCCUCAGCUCGUCCGCAUUCACUACAUUCCUUCCAUCGAACACAAAAGCUGGUUU
RNAcentral lists this long non-coding RNA (280 nucleotides) under Populus trichocarpa (black cottonwood). RNAcentral's name for it is "long non-coding RNA (PTRI_LNC003846)". Lineage: Eukaryota; Viridiplantae; Streptophyta; Magnoliopsida; Malpighiales; Salicaceae. The record is from RNAcentral.